Molecule: ribosomal RNA, 535 nt
Filed under: uncultured bacterium
Lineage: Bacteria
Description: bacterial SSU rRNA
Rfam family: Bacterial small subunit ribosomal RNA
Source: RNAcentral
AGAAAAUAGAUACCCUGGUAGUCCACGCCCUAAACGAUGUCUACUAGUUGUCGGGUCUUCAUUGACUUGGUAAACGCAGCUAAACGCGUGAAGUAGACCGCCUGGGGAGUACGGUCGCAAGAUUAAAACUCAAAGGAAUUGACGGGGACCCGCACAAGCGGUGGAUGAUGUGGAUUAAAUUCGAUGCAACGCGAAAAACCUUACCUACCCUUGACAUGGUCGGAACCCUGGAGAGAUCUGGGGGUGCUCGAAAGAGAGCCGAUACACAGGUGCUGCAUGGCUGUCGUCAGCUCGUGUCGUGAGAUGUUGGGUUAAGUCCCGCAACGAGCGCAACCCUUGUCAUUAGUUGCUACGAAAGGGCACUCUAAUGAGACUGCCGGUGACAAACCGGAGGAAGGUGGGGAUGACGUCAAGUCCUCAUGGCCCUUAUGGGUAGGGCUUCACACGUCAUACAAUGGUGCAUACAGAGGGUUGCCAACCCGCGAGGGGAGCCAAUCCCAGAAAGUGCAUCGUAGUCCGGAUUGCAGUCUGCAAC